This 271-nucleotide ribosomal RNA is filed under the name Pantoea agglomerans. RNAcentral describes it as "partial 23S ribosomal RNA". It matches the Rfam family "Bacterial large subunit ribosomal RNA", at positions 2102 to 2372 of the family's 2925-position model. Lineage: Bacteria; Pseudomonadati; Pseudomonadota; Gammaproteobacteria; Enterobacterales; Erwiniaceae. The record is from RNAcentral.
UACUACAGCUUGACACUGAACAUUGAGCCUUGAUGUGUAGGAUAGGUGGGAGGCUUUGAAGCGCGGACGCCAGUCUGCGUGGAGCCAACCUUGAAAUACCACCCUUUAAUGUUUGAUGUUCUAACGUGGCCCCGUGAUCCGGGGUGCGGACAGUGUCUGGUGGGUAGUUUGACUGGGGCGGUCUCCUCCUAAAGAGUAACGGAGGAGCACGAAGGUCAGCUAAUCACGGUCGGACAUCGUGAGGUUAGUGCAAUGGCAUAAGCUGGCUUGA